GAUGAACGCUGGCGGCGUGCCUAAUACAUGCAAGUCGAGCGAACAGACGAGGAGCUUGCUCCUCUGACGUUAGCGGCGGACGGGUGAGUAACACGUGGAUAACCUACCUAUAAGACUGGGAUAACUUCGGGAAACCGGAGCUAAUACCGGAUAACAUGUUGAACCGCAUGGUUCAACAGUGAAAGACGGUGUUGCUGUCACUUAUAGAUGGAUCCGCGCCGCAUUAGCUAGUUGGUAAGGUAACGGCUUACCAAGGCAACGAUGCGUAGCCGACCUGAGAGGGUGAUCGGCCACACUGGAACGGAGACGCGGUCCAGACUCCUGCGGGAGGCAGCAGUAGGGAAUCUUCCGCAAUGGGCGAAAGCCUGACGGAGCGACGCCGCGUGAGUGGAGAAGGUCUUCGGAUCGUAAAACUCUGUUAUUAGGGAAGAACAGAUGUGUAAGUAACUAUGCACGUCUUGACGGUACCUAGUCAGAAAGCCACGGCUAACUACGUG
Molecule: ribosomal RNA, 497 nt
Filed under: uncultured bacterium
Lineage: Bacteria
Description: partial 16S ribosomal RNA
Rfam family: Bacterial small subunit ribosomal RNA
Source: RNAcentral